RNAcentral lists this ribosomal RNA (403 nucleotides) under uncultured bacterium. RNAcentral's name for it is "partial 16S ribosomal RNA". It matches the Rfam family "Bacterial small subunit ribosomal RNA", at positions 30 to 526 of the family's 1533-position model. The record is from RNAcentral.
AUUGAACGCUGGCGGCAGGCCUAACACAUGCAAGUCGAGCGAGCGGCGGACGGGUGAUGACUGUAUGGGGACUGCCCGAUAGCGGGGGAUAACUACUGGAAACGGUAGCUAAUACCGCAUCCUAUCGGAUAACCCAUAUGGGAUUAGCUAGUAGGUGAGGUAAUGGCCAACCUAGGCGACGAUCCCUAGCUGGUCUGAGAGGAUGAUCAGCAACACGGGGACUGAGACACGGCCCAGACUACAACGGAGGCAGCAGUGGGGAAUAUUGCACAAUGGGCGAAAGCCUGAUGCAGCCAUGCCGCGUGUAUGAAGAAGGCCCUAGGGUUGUAAAGUACGUUCAGUCGGGAGGCGUUACCGACAGAAGAAGCACCGGCUAACUCCGUGCCAGCAGCCGCGGUAAUUC